Molecule: non-coding RNA, 226 nt
Filed under: Pontibacillus halophilus
Lineage: Bacteria; Bacillati; Bacillota; Bacilli; Caryophanales; Bacillaceae
Description: T-box sequence
Rfam family: T-box leader
About the family: Uncharged tRNA acts as the effector for transcription antitermination of genes in the T-box leader family. T-boxes are found upstream of many aminoacyl-tRNA synthetase genes and some amino acid biosynthetic genes usually in Gram-positive bacteria.
Source: RNAcentral
GUGAAGUCUACGACAGGGAUAAGUAAAGAUAGCCCCUUUCAAUAAGCGAGUCAGGGAUGGUGGAAGCCUGAUGGAAAGCCUAUUUCGAAGAUCACCCUUGAGACCCUAUGCUGAACCAUUCAGUAGGUGUAGGCGCGUCAUUCACGUUACGAAUGCUUGAGCGAAUCAUGCAUACCUGUAUGUAUGAUUUACAAGGGUGGUACCGCGAGACCUUCUCGUCCCUUUU